AGAAAGACUUUAAUUUAGUUAUUAUUUUAAAAUUUUGGAAGUCACUUUUAUUAAUAUAAGAAAUAAGAGCUUGAUAUGUAUUUUAAGUGAGUAGCAAAUGAUUUUGUCCUGUUGUAAAACAAGAGAAUAAAAUCUAUGUUUCUGUAUUAUUCAUAAACAUAAGGAGCCCUUUAUAUAUAGGGAAUUACACCGUCAUAGAAUAAUGGAAAGACUAAAGAAAAGAAAUACGAAAUAGUACAAAUCAUAAUCUAAUAAGGAAAAUGCAAGAUGCCGAUUCUCUCUCUCUCUCUCUCUCUCCUCACGGUCGACUCUC
Molecule: long non-coding RNA, 313 nt
Filed under: Brassica napus (rape)
Lineage: Eukaryota; Viridiplantae; Streptophyta; Magnoliopsida; Brassicales; Brassicaceae
Description: long non-coding RNA (BNAP_LNC025933)
Source: RNAcentral